UACGUAGGGACCAAGCGUUGUUCGGAUUUACUGGGCGUAAAGGGCGCGUAGGCGGCGCGGUAAGUCACUUGUGAAAUCUCUGAGCUUAACUCAGAACGGCCAAGUGAUACUGCAGUGCUGGAGUGUGGAAGGGGCAAUCGGAAUUCUUGGUGUAGCGGUGAAAUGCGUAGAUAUCAAGAGGAACACCUGAGGUGAAGACGGGUUGCUGGGCCAACACUGACGCUGAGGCGCGAAAGCCAGGGGAGCAAACGGG
Molecule: ribosomal RNA, 253 nt
Filed under: uncultured bacterium
Lineage: Bacteria
Description: partial 16S ribosomal RNA
Rfam family: Bacterial small subunit ribosomal RNA
Source: RNAcentral